GCAUCGGAAACUGGGAGACUUGAGUGCAGAAGAGGACAGUGGAACUCCAUGUGUAGCGGUGGAAUGCGUAGAUAUAUGGAAGAACACCAGUGGCGAAGGCGGCUGUCUAGUCCGUAACUGACGCUGAGGCUCGAAAGCAUGGGUAGCGAACAGGAUUAGAUACCCUGGUAGUCCAUGCCGUAAACGAUGAGUGCUAAGUGUUGGAGGGUUUCCCCCUUCAGUGCUGCAGCUAACGCAUUAAGCACUCCGCCUGGGGAGUACGACCGCAAGGUUGAAACUCAAAGGAAUUGACGGGGGCCCGCACAAGCGGUGGAGCAUGUGGUUUAAUUCGAAGCUACGCGAAGAACCUUACCAGGUCUUGACAUCUUCUGCCAAUCUUAGAGAUAAGACGUUCCCUUCGGGGACAGAAUGACAGGUGGUGCAUGGUUGUCGUCAGCUCGUGUCGUGAGAUGUUGGGUUAAGUCCCGCAACGAGCGCAACCCUUAUUAUCAGUUGCCAGCAUUCAGUUGGGCACUCUGGUGAGACUGCCGGUGACAAACCGGAGGAAGGUGGGGAUGACGUCAAAUCAUCAUGCCCCUUAUGACCUGGGCUACACACGUGCUACAAUGGACGGUACAACGAGUCGCGAAGUCGUGAGGCUAAGCUAAUCUCUUAAAGCCGUUCUCAGUUCGGAUUGUAGGCUGCAACUCGCCUACAUGAAGUUGGAAUCGCUAGUAAUCGCGGAUCAGCAUGCCGCGGUGAAUACGUUCCCGGGCCUUGUACACACCGCCCGUCACACCAUGAGAGUUUGUAACACCCAAAGCCGGUGAGAUAACCUUCGGGAGUCAGCCGUCUAAGGUGGGACAGAUGAUUAGGGUGAAGUCGUAACAAGGUAAC
This 876-nucleotide ribosomal RNA is filed under the name uncultured Lactobacillus sp. RNAcentral's name for it is "bacterial SSU rRNA". It matches the Rfam family "Bacterial small subunit ribosomal RNA", at positions 623 to 1500 of the family's 1533-position model. The record is from RNAcentral. Lineage: Bacteria; Bacillati; Bacillota; Bacilli; Lactobacillales; Lactobacillaceae.